GCAAGUCGAGCGCGAAAGUUCCUUCGGGAGCGAGUAGAGCGGCGAAAGGGUGAGUAAUGCUUGGGCAACUUACCUCUUGGACUGGGAUAGCCUCUGGAAACGGGGGGUAAUACCAGAUGGUCUCGUUGGAACUGCGGUUCCGAUGAGUAAAGGUGGGCUUCGGCUCGCGCCAAGAGAGAGGCUCGAGUCCUACCAGCUUGUUGGUGAGGUAAUGGCUCACCAAGGCGAAGACGGGUAGCCGGACUGAGAGGUUGGCC
RNAcentral lists this ribosomal RNA (257 nucleotides) under uncultured bacterium. Its description in RNAcentral is "partial 16S ribosomal RNA". It matches the Rfam family "Bacterial small subunit ribosomal RNA", at positions 57 to 305 of the family's 1533-position model. The record is from RNAcentral.